Molecule: non-coding RNA, 65 nt
Filed under: Candidatus Pelagibacter
Lineage: Bacteria; Pseudomonadati; Pseudomonadota; Alphaproteobacteria; Candidatus Pelagibacterales; Candidatus Pelagibacteraceae
Also listed under: 1 other name
Description: SAM-V sequence
Rfam family: SAM-V (S-adenosyl methionine) riboswitch aptamer
About the family: SAM-V riboswitch is a cis-regulatory element that was recognised in marine bacteria it recognise S-adenosylmethione (SAM).
Source: RNAcentral
CUUAAAGCCGGGUAUUUGAACCGUAUUGUGCGCCCGACAUAAGUCAAAGCACUAAAAAGGAGAUG